UGGGGAGGAGUGUGAUGAGAAAUGCUGGCAUCCUGACCUUCCCAGGAAAAUACUGAAGGCUUUGAGUAGGAGCUGGGGAGAGAGGUAGCCUCAACACCUUGGCCAUACCCACCUGGAGUGGAGCUAUUAAUAUACAGUGAAUCAUCUAUGAGAGCAUUUACAACUACCUACAGGCUAAAAUGCUUUGUCUUCAAGGAGAUUCAUGGAAAAGACCCUGACAAAUACUCUAGAGUACAAGUUUCUGAUAACUUGAAGAUCAUACCACUUAACUGGACUUGGAAUAAAAACUAAAAUUGCCCUUUUCCUCAAUUUCUACAACCUAAAGCCAGACAACUUGAUAGAAGAUUCAAAGAAAUCACCACAACAAAUCAUGUACAGACAACCUUCGUGCCUACUUCUGUUUCAGGCCACUCAGAGUUCACCAGAAUAUUCAAUGAUGUCAUCAAAAUCAUUCAAACUACAAACAAGGAAAAUCCAACAGAUUGAAACUGCCUCCUCACUCCAUCAUCUAAAGAUGUUUUGAAAAA
Molecule: long non-coding RNA, 527 nt
Organism: Hyaena hyaena (striped hyena)
Lineage: Eukaryota; Metazoa; Chordata; Mammalia; Carnivora; Hyaenidae
Exons: 3
Source: RefSeq, a predicted model, not a curated record